RNAcentral lists this microRNA (22 nucleotides) under Populus trichocarpa (black cottonwood). RNAcentral describes it as "ptc-miR1450". The record is from miRBase by way of RNAcentral. Lineage: Eukaryota; Viridiplantae; Streptophyta; Magnoliopsida; Malpighiales; Salicaceae.
UUCAAUGGCUCGGUCAGGUUAC